Molecule: small nuclear RNA, 297 nt
Filed under: Pogona vitticeps (central bearded dragon)
Lineage: Eukaryota; Metazoa; Chordata; Lepidosauria; Squamata; Agamidae
Description: 7SK RNA (ENSPVIG00000025482.1)
Rfam family: 7SK RNA
About the family: 7SK was discovered as an abundant small nuclear RNA in the mid-70s but a possible function has only recently been suggested. Two independent studies have found that 7SK RNA binds the CDK9/cyclin T complex (known as elongation factor P-TEFb). P-TEFb activates transcription by phosphorylating the C-terminal domain of RNA polymerase II.
Source: Rfam by way of RNAcentral
AGAUGUGAGGACAAUGUGGCUGUGACAUCGGUCACCCCGUUGAUCACCAGUGCUGAUUUGGCUUACCCGGCUGACUAGGCAGGUGUCCCCUCCCUCCCUCACUGUUCCAUUUGCAUCCUUUUUGAGGCUGUAUGCUUGGUGGAAGAGGAUGACCAUCCAAUACAGGAGUGUACCAUCCUUUUGUUCAAGGGCAUAUGAUAGUUGUGCUUCCCUGCUAGAACCUCCAAACAAGCUCAAGGUUCUGUUAUAAUUGCUGAUUAGCUCCAGCUGUCUUUUUCAGGAAAAAAAAUACAAUUU